This 1860-nucleotide long non-coding RNA is filed under the name Ricinus communis (castor bean). RNAcentral describes it as "long non-coding RNA (RCOM_LNC003422)". The record is from RNAcentral. Lineage: Eukaryota; Viridiplantae; Streptophyta; Magnoliopsida; Malpighiales; Euphorbiaceae.
AGAAAGUGAAAUGGAAUCUUCGUUUUUCCAGCGGCGAGACGAUCAAAGAUAGAUAGGCUGGUCGGGGCUUUCCCUCCUUCUGAUCUGACGAUCGGUCUUUGAAGCUUGGCUUGAUUGAUUAGAAAAGUGAACCAAAUUCCAUCCUGACUAUCGGGAACAGAAGGGAUAGCGUUGUAAGACCCGCACUGUUUAAGGUUUGGUGUGGAAUCGCUCGGUAGAUAGGUGGAGGAUAGGGGCUUUCUGUCCUUACUUGGAUAACGGGUACAAUCGGACUGGAACUUCAACCUCAAUUUCUGAGACCCUUUGUUUAGGGUCUAACAGCAUAUUGAUUUAGGGAACCCUGCUAUUGUCACUGUCACGUUAACCUCCCUAAAUACGAUAGGAAAGAGGAGCACAGGCUUUCGAGCUAUCUUCCAACCAAAAGGGCCCUCACUGUAUGAAGACCUACAACAGGGUACACACUGGCGCUUGACGAGUUUGCUACUGACUUGAAACUAAACCUGUCCUUACUUUUACUAAGCCUUACAAGAGAGUUCAUGAUAGGAAGUACUUUUUUAUGGGGAUAGGCGUUAUAACUCAGAUAAGAAAGCAGGCUUUCCUAACCAAAGGCUUACUACUGGCUUGCGGAACUGACUGAAUGGAAUAAAAGAUAGCUUGAGGGCUUGAAACUGAUGCUUAAAUAACUUCCCUAAACUGUCCUUACGUUCUCUAUAGGAUAGGGUACUAAAAGGUUUACAGACUGGGGCGAAGAUAUGGAACUACGUGACGUGUAUAAGAUCAUCUUCCCUUUCAAUCGGAUAUGCCCCUCCUUUAGGAUCUGCCUUUCAAGCAAGUGUUCUAGCCAGCGAGGAGGGCGCAGGUAGAGCUCAUCAAUCACCAAGCUUUGUGCCUCAUAGAAAAAAGCCCCCGUAGCGAGUCUAACUCAAAGUCAUCCAAUAGUUAGACGGUAUGGAAUCAUUAGAUUCGUUAUCACGCUUAUCCAGUCCAACCAGGCUGGCUUUUCAACUGGGCUUGAGGAGGCUAUCUUGUUUACCCGAAAUCUACUCACUUAUACUAACGGGCACUGAGACUGGCUUUCGAAAACACUCGUAUCAGGGAUGAGAAAGUACGGACUUGAGAGUACGGGUCUUUUUCUUCCUUACAUUAGCGCUACCGGCUGGAAAGGCUGUGGAAUGACUUCUCGCUCAUUUAUCUAAGGUAAGGGCGAUGAACCCCGCCUCCCCUAUCAUAUCUUAGGGGUCUUCCCCUGUCGGGUAUAUAGGGGGUUUAGUACCUUUCGCAAAGCUAUGUCGUAUUUGAAGUAGAGUGAGACCUCUGUCUUGCUUGAACUUGAACUCUCUUGUCGAAAGGAAAGCUAAACGAUCGGGCUUGGCUUCCAACCAAUGCUUCCCCUCCCCUUCCAAUAGACCAACUCGCUUUUCAAGAUACAUCCGCCCUUCCCGGGCUUGCUACUCUUGGCAGGAAAGCUCUAGGACUCAAGGCACCACGUAUCUAAACCGGAAAAUUGAAUGGCUAUCCAAAGUACCCUUGCUUGCCCAGUUUUGAACAUAGAAGUUAGAAUCUAUUUUAUAUAUAUAUAUUCACUUCCCUUUUUUAAGCAUAUUCAAAAAAGGAGGAAAAGAGUUGGUUGGGAGAGAGGAUCAGCCUCAGCUCCAUAAGCCUUAGCAUGUUCAACCGAGAACCAAUCCUAGUGUUUUCAAUCAGUGCAUUGGUAGCCGAAGCAUUCAACCCUAUCUGUAACCCCUAUGAUCGAGCGCCUGUAUCUGAAGUGUUGAGCGCUUUAUCCAUAUAUAUAUACGUAGAAACCACUUGUUUCGGGAUAAAAAAAACCCGUUAUAUUCAUUUGACCUAUUGUGAAAG